Molecule: ribosomal RNA, 253 nt
Filed under: uncultured bacterium
Lineage: Bacteria
Description: partial 16S ribosomal RNA
Rfam family: Bacterial small subunit ribosomal RNA
Source: RNAcentral
UACGAAGGGGGCUAGCGUUGCUCGGAAUCACUGGGCGUAAAGGGUGCGUAGGCGGGUCUUUAAGUCAGGGGUGAAAUCCUGGAGCUCAACUCCAGAACUGCCUUUGAUACUGAGGAUCUUGAGUACGGGAGAGGUGAGUGGAACUGCGAGUGUAGAGGUGAAAUUCGUAGAUAUUCGCAAGAACACCAGUGGCGAAGGCGGCUCACUGGCCCGUAACUGACGCUGAGGCACGAAAGCUAGGGUAGCGAACGGG